AAUAGGCCCAAUUGAUUAAAGCCCAUUUACGUGCUUAUUAUCUGGUAGGGUUUCUUAUCUUCGCUAUAAAUCGUUGCAACCUUGUCUUUUUCAUCUUUCAGCGGCCAUCAACUAGGUUUACGACAAAGCAAAACACCGUUCAAGAUGAGAGCCAAGUGGAAGAAGAAGCGUAUGAGGAGAUUGAAGAGGAAGCGCCGAAAGAUGAGACAGAGAUCUAAGUAGUGAGCUUGGAUAAUCGAUCGUAGUUUGUUUCUUGUUGUUCUUUCGUAUGUUUUUGUUGUCAAAUGAAUCCUAUUAAUAAUUUUGUUGGAUAUUUUUCAUGUUUUGAUACAUUAUGGGUUUUACAUCUUAAUCUUAUUAGUUUUGGUUUGAGCAAUUAUUUA
This is a long non-coding RNA of Medicago truncatula (barrel medic), 383 nucleotides long. RefSeq lists it as uncharacterized. The record is from RefSeq and is a predicted model, not a curated record. The transcript is spliced from 2 exons. Lineage: Eukaryota; Viridiplantae; Streptophyta; Magnoliopsida; Fabales; Fabaceae.